UACUAGAGUAGCACUCGCAUAUCAAUAAGCGGAGGAAAAGAAACUAACAAGGAUUCCCCUAGUAACGGCGAGUGAAGCGGGAAGAGCUCAAAUUUGAAAUCUUAAAGGGUUUCCCUUUACGAAUUGUAGUUUAAAGAAGUGUUUUCUGUUGAGGUUUUGGUAAAAGUUCUUUGGAAUAGGACAUCAUAGAGGGUGAGAAUCCCGUAUUUGACCUUUACUUUCAACUUUGUGAUACACUUUCAAAGAGUCGGAUUGUUUGGGAAUGCAGUCCAAAAUGGGUGGUAAAUUUCAUCUAAAGCUAAAUAUUGGCGAGAGACCGAUAGCGAACAAGUACCGUGAGGGAAAGAUGAAAAGAACUUUGAAAAGAGAGUUAAACAGUACGUGAAAUUGUCAAAAGGGAAGCGUUUGACACCAGUGUUGUUUUUCUGAAAAUCAAUUAAAGAACUGUUUAUGCUAAGCUGUUUAGACUUUAUCAGCUAAUCUGUUUAGUUUUGAGCUUUUCUUUAAUGCACUUUUCAGUUAACAAGUCAACAUCAAUUCCUUUUGCUGUAAAAAAGCUUGAGGAAGGUGGCUUGAGAUUCGUCUUAAGUGUUUAUAGCCUCUUGCCUAUGCAGUCGGAGAGAUUGAGGUCUGCAGCGUAGAUCCUUCGGGGCUAAAUGCAUUUGUGCUAAGUUAUAGCAUUUUAUAGACAACUUGUUGACUAUGAUUUGUCUUGUAGCUUACUCGCUUAUGUUAUUUUACCUACGCUUAGGAUGUUGAACUACUGAGACAUAGA
This 775-nucleotide ribosomal RNA is filed under the name uncultured Neocallimastigales. RNAcentral's name for it is "partial large subunit ribosomal RNA". It matches the Rfam family "Eukaryotic large subunit ribosomal RNA", at positions 20 to 644 of the family's 3401-position model. The record is from RNAcentral. Lineage: Eukaryota; Fungi; Neocallimastigomycota; Neocallimastigomycetes; Neocallimastigales.